This is a long non-coding RNA of Girardinichthys multiradiatus, 1660 nucleotides long. RefSeq lists it as uncharacterized. NCBI's taxonomy places the organism in Eukaryota, Metazoa, Chordata, Actinopteri, Cyprinodontiformes, Goodeidae. The transcript is spliced from 4 exons. The record is from RefSeq and is a predicted model, not a curated record.
AUGAAGCUAAUACACAAAGGGAUUAACUAAACCGGGAACAACUGGGGAACAUAAACAACAAAGUAAUACAAAAAAGAGACAAUAGAAACUCAAAAAACUCAAACACCUAAUGAUCAUUACAAAAAAUAUAGUGUUCCAAAAGACCCAAGUAGUGUUGCAUCCCCUGAGCUGGGAGCUAUUGGUUUGUGUUGGUGUGUCUCUCUCUCUCUGGCAGGGCGUGACCGGCAGGUGCUGUUCCACAGCUGCAGGUCAUCAAGCGGCAAUCAGGAGGAGCAUAAAAGGGUUGCAUCGUCUUCGAGGCUAAUACAUCGCCUCUCGUCCUGACUAGAGUGCCAACACUGAUCUCCUUGCACUUCUCCUCUGGACUCCAGAAGUAACUCCCUGGGAUUUGCCUCAGUGUACCGGUUUGCUGCUUCUCUGGUUGCCCUCCUGUUGUUAGCUGCUGGAUCUCUCUCAGAUCUCUCUCUUACCUGCCUGUCCGCCCUCCUAUGCUCUCCGCCUGACACGAGACACCAGCCUGAACCAAUCCUCAAACCGUCACCCUCCGACGAUGACACACUUUCCCUCAGAUGAUCGCACCAUAUCCUACAGCUCAUUCCCUCUAAUCAGCAACAUACUUCUACCUGUGGGGUGCGGACAGAUUAAAGGCUACCCCCAGGACCGGAAAAUCUCAGGAAACCCUUAAGAUCUACAGUUCAACCUUUUGGUUCCUCAAGAAUCUGCCUGGCGGCUUGGCUCCUAAAUAUGGUAAACCCUGUGGCUUCAGUAGGAUUGUCAACCUGAGACAAAGAAACGCAUCAGCUCUGUUAUUGGACCUCUCCUGGACUCCUGCUCUUAAGACCCCGACCAGAAGUUCCCUCCCAGCUCCUAGCUUCCAUGGCAACAAAGCUUACCGAGAAGCUAGGUGAGCCUGUCAGUGAGACCAGACCAAUGCUCUCUGUGAACCUCAGAAACGAGACCAGAUAAAUUAAACUGUUUUCCUGUCUCCUGAGUGUGGUUAUGCAUGUGGGUCAAACAAACAUCUAAGAAUAUGACAGUGGGAAUCCAAAAUGUCCACAAGCAAAGACAUUUACAGCUUUUUUGAAAGUUAAGCUUUACAUGUUUAAGUUGAUCAGGGUGCCUUGGAACUGAUAAUCAGUACACCAUCAGUAACAAAGAGGUCCAUUUCUCCCUGGUAACUCUUCAACAUAGGAAAGACAAGGGAACAUGGAGUUCAAAACAAGUAAUGCAGAAGUACUGAGUUUGCUUCUUCCUCUGCUGCCACACCAAAGCCCCAAUACCAUCCUGGAAUUCCACCUACAUAGACAGAUGUCUUUCUCUGCUUCAACAUCCCUGGUUCACCUGAAUAAACUCACCUGCCUGUCUGCCCUCAUCGACUACAGAUAACAAUGGCUGAUCAAGGCUUUUUUGAAGCUUCCACACUUGAUUCAAAAUAACGUGGUUGAUCACUUAAGGCUUCAAUGACAUAGUGCUCGAGUAGGACAUCUAAUGGUAAGUAAAAUCUAGUCCCAUCUCAGUCAGAAGACCUAUUGAAAACCUGUGUGGUGAUUUGAGGAGAAAAGAGUAUUAGUAAUGUUUUGGUCAAGUUGUCCUAUCAGUUCCAUCGCUGAAGCGAUUUCAUUGUUUGCAAAAGUGAAUAACAUCACAGCUGACAUUAAAC